Molecule: ribosomal RNA, 253 nt
Filed under: uncultured bacterium
Lineage: Bacteria
Description: partial 16S ribosomal RNA
Rfam family: Bacterial small subunit ribosomal RNA
Source: RNAcentral
UACGUAGGGGGCGAGCGUUGUCCGGAAUCAUUGGGCGUAAAGCGCGUGUAGGCGGCCCGGUAAGUCCGCUGUGAAAGUCCAGGGCUCAACCCUGGGAUGCCGGUGGAUACUGUCGGGCUCGAGUCCGGAAGAGGCGAGUGGAAUUCCUGGUGUAGCGGUGAAAUGCGCAGAUAUCAGGAGGAACACCAAUGGCGAAGGCAGCUCGCUGGGACGUGACUGACGCUGAGGAGCGAAAGCAUGGGGAGCGAACAGG